CCAUGCAGCCAAAACACCAAAAAUCUUCAAAAUCUUGUGUAGAAAAUCAUCAAAUCAAGAACCGAUACUUCAAAAAUCAAUAGAUUUUCAAAGACCCGCUUUGAUGCCACUUGUUGGGAUUAAAACCCUAAUUGUGAUUUGAUGAACAACAUGCGGAAAAUAAGAACAAACACAAAUAAUGAAGAUUGUGUCGAAUGAUCACUCGAUUUAUUCAAUAUGAGGAAUAAAUUACACUUUCAGCAUAGACUAAAGAAUCUAACACUACAUAAGAAACCUCACGUGGCGGCUACAUUUUGCCUAACUGUUAACCCUAAUUAUGAAUAAUACAUGACUAUUUAUAGGGAAAAGACAAGUCUUGGGCUUUUAACCUACAACUCAUCAAAGGGGCCCAUUGCCAUCAUCCAUGGAGUGCUUUGAAACCCUACAACAUCUCUAAAUAAUACUUUAGUCACACUCAAAUACACCAAGGGCCGAUCUCUCUCCCUUCUUAACUCUUGAAGUGCGUAAAAGACCAUUUUACCCCUCCAUGACCUCCAUUACUCAUGUUGACCAAACCCUACAGUCAACAAAAGUUAAACUCAAUUCAACAGUCCCUAUUUGACCUGACUUGCCGAGUGCAUCCUUGUGACUCGUCGAGUCCACUCACUCUCUCAGAAGUCUCGCAAAGGUCCAACUCAACUCGUCGGGUUGACCCCCAACUCGCCGAGUUAACAUGCGAUUCAGCUCGAUCGGGAAAACCCUAAUCGACUCGUCGAGUCACCCCAUAGACUCGGCGAGUCGCCUCCAUGGCAUUACUCAUUUGGUCUCCUGAGGUCAGAUCUGAGACUCUAACUCAUAGAUCUAGCCUCCUAUCAUCCAAAAGUCACGAAACGGUCCGAUCUUCAUGUCCAUGCAUGGUAUAUUUUUUUAUAUACCAUUAUGACUCCAUUAAAGCAUCAUAGUUUCUAAGCUCCAUGGUUGCUCCUCUAUAACCUAAUACUUUUGGACUCUCUGGACCUUACAAGGUCUAGAUCUACAACUUAAGCUCAUAAAGGGGUUUGAUGCAUCCCAAAACCCCGUUCAUGAAGGUAAUACAAGCCCUAAUCCCCAAAAUAAUAGAUCUACACAAUUAGGGAAGGAAAGGGGCGAAUAUAAUACCUCUAGCUGAAGCCCUUUGAAUGAAAUCUUCAGAUCUAGCAAUCUCCUUUGGCCUUCUAGCUUGUAACCUCCUUCUCUCUUGCAUAUUUUAUAGUAAUAAGCUCAAGAUAGCCCUCCCUCUCACUCUACACAUUCAAAGACUCUUUAAGGUUGCUCUCAGGAAGAUAUGGUCGCAAAUGGAAGGUCAUAAGGUCCUUAUGUAGGGCACAGGUCCGAAACUUAGGGUUUUCUCUGCCGAGGAGUCAGUCCCCUGACUCGUUGAGUCCACUCAUUAAAUCCACGUGGCAACCCGAAACAACUCGGCGAGUUGGGCCUUCGACUCAUCGAAUCUCUCCUUAAACUUCAAGAUUGAAUCACAAAAUAAGGUACCUAAAAAUCCAGAUGUUACAAAAACCCUACUACUGGUGGCCGACGAUGAAGCUCAAUGUUGCGAAGUAUGUGGCCGACUGUGUGACAUGUGCGAGAGUUAAGGCACAACAUCAAAAACCAAAUGGGAGUUUAGAAGCUUUACCUGUACCCAUGGGUAAAUGGGAAAACAUCACCAUGGAUUUUGUGACUAAACUGCCCAGAAUGAAGAACGAUCAUGACAUGAUUUGGGUGGUCGUGGAUCAUUUCACCAAGAGUGCACACUUCAUAGAAGCCAACGAGAGGUGGUCUAUGGAUAAGCUUGCAAAUGCUUACGUAAAGGAGGUGGUAAGAGUUCACGGUGUUCCUCUGACGAUUGUAUUGGAUCGUGAUAGUCAUUUCACGUCAAGGUUUUAGAGAAGUUGACAAUAGGAAUUAGGUACGAAAUUGCGUUUAAGUACAGCUUACCAUCCACAGACUAAUGGUCAGAGCGAAAGAACGAUUCAAACACUGGAAGAUAUGCUGAGAGCAUGUACCCUAGAGUUCCAAGGGAACCGGGACAAGCACUUACCUCUGGUAGAGUUUUCCUACAACAAUAAUUUCCACUCGAGCAUCAAGAUGGCACCAUAUCAAUCUUUGUACGAAUAGAAGUUUCGUACGCCAUCUUGUUGGCUUGAGGCUGGAGAAAAGCAGUUUAUGGGCCUCGAGAUAGUCCAUGAGACUGAUGAGAGGCUGAAGGUGAUUAGGGAAAGAAUGUUAGCAGCUCAGGAUCGUCAGAAGAGCUAUGUUGACAAGAAUAGACGAUCGAUGACUUUUGAAGUUGGGGAUUCGGUUUUGCUUCAAGUCUCACCGUGGAAGGGACUUAUAAGAUACGGAAAACGAUGAAAGUUGAGUCCAAGGUUUAUUGGACCGUUCAAAGUUUUUAAAGGAUUGGGAACUAAGCUUACAAGCUUGGAUUACCCGAAGAACUAGCACUACAAGAAAAAGUCGAAAUAACUACGGAAAUUUGCUACGAAAGUAAAAUCCAUAGUGAUUCUGCUACGGAUUAUGCUACAGAAUGGCUUCUCGUAGCUAUUUUGCUAUGGAACUUGCUACAGAAUUACAUUCUGUAGGUAAUAUUUGAAUAACUACGGAAUGUUGCUACAGAAUUGAAAACCAUAGUUAUUCUACUAUGGAAUAUACUACGAACUAGUUAGACGUAGGUAUAUUUGCUACGGAAUUAGCUACAGAAUUGCAUUCUAUAGCUAAUAUUUUAAUAACUACAGAAUUUUGCUACGCAAUCGAAGUCCGUAGUUAUCAUGCUACAAAAUUUGUUACAGAAUUAAAAGGUGUAGGUAUUUUGCUACAACUGUUGCUACAGAUUAAAGUUUGUAUUUAUUUUGCUACAGAAAUUGUUACGAAAUCAAAAUAUGUAGCUAUUUUGCUAUAAAAUUUGCUACCAUAUCGAAGUUUGUAGCUAGCUUGCUACAACAUUUGUAACGAAGUCAAAAUCCGUAGCUAUGUCGCUACAGAAUUUGCUACAAGAUCAUAGGUCGUAGCUAUUAUACUAUAAUAUAAAAACCAAAAAUAGUAUACAAUAGAAGUUUCCAAUAUGCAAUUUCUAGUGUUUGGAGGUUUCUCAAGUAAAGUUUAAACCCUUAAAACCGAAACUCGAAUUACAAUUACGAAUUACUUAAUUAAAAAUUACAAUUUUAAGGUAGGGGCUGGUCACAUCCCAUUUGUUUUGUAACAUCCUGAUUUUCAUGGAGUAAUUAAAUAUAAAGAAGGAGUCUCGGGAAGUAAUCCUAGUAUUGUUGUAUAUUUUUAAGUCCAAAAUCAAUUAAUAAUUAUUGGAAUAUGAGUUUCGAAGGUUAAAGAAUAAUAUUGGACUUAUAUUGAAAGGAUUUUAUGGAGUAGGGGCUAAAGUGUAAGUUCGGGCCUGAUUUGAAAAGAAUUAUAGAGAGCAGGGUUAGAAAGGUAAAUUAUGAGUUAGUUUUGAAAGAAUUUGGGGAAUGAGGGGUUAAUAUUGUCAAUAUGGGAUAGAUGGUAUGGGACUCGGGAUAUAAAACCCAUNAAACCCAUCACUAUGAACCCUAAACCUAGCUAUGAACAGCCGCCAACCUUGCCUUCACCCUCCUACACUUUUAGCACCGCUACCCCCUCCCCUUCUCUGUCGAGUUACCUUCCACUGCUAUUGCUGGAGUCGUCAAGCAUCACCACCGCAACCCAUGUCGGUUCUGUUGUCGUGUUUGGUCGAAGGAUAUUCCCGAGAGAGAAGCUGUCGAUGCCGUGUUCUUCUUCUUCUCUGCUCCUUGCUGUCGUUGCUGUCAAUUCGAAGCUACCAUCGAUCCUACUGCCGCCAAUGAAGUCGUGAGCAGCGAGGGUUUCUCUUGGGUCGCCGGAAGCAGGGAGGCGAGACCGGUAACGUUGCUGCUGUCAACAGGGAAUCAACCCCAACUGUGUCAUUCCUCUCUAUCUCCGUUUUCGUUCCGGUGUAGCGUCUCUGUUACCGUUUCUUGAGCUGCUGCCGUCGCCACCCACCUGUGGUGGUGAUUAGUUAUUUUCCAAGCAAGAAUUCGAGGUCUCUGAGUAUUUUGUGUGUUGAUGCUUCAAGCUCGUGGGUAUAUGUGUGUGUAUGUUCAUCCGUGACUCACUAGUUGGUGGGAGUCUCGGAUUUACUGCUGCCGGAGAAAAGCCAAGGAAGAACCACCAUGGCCGUCAGCCAUGGUGGCUGGCGCCUCNCCUGCCGCCUCAAGGACCGCCAUGGAGGGUGUGUUUGAUGCUGUGUGUGUAUUAUUUUGUGUGUAUGUUAAUUUGAUAUUAUGGUAAAUUGUAACAAAAAUGUGAAUAAUGGAAGAAAAGCUCGAAACCACUACCAUGAAAUUUACUACCAACUAUCUGUUUCAUAAUUAGAUCGUAGUAGAUUCACUAUGGAAUAUUUGCUACGACAUUACCUGUAGUGGAUUUGCUAUGGAAAUUAGCUACGUGGAUGGUUUGUAGUUAAUUUGUGACAGAUUAACUAUGGAUCAGGUCAUAAAUAAUUUGUUACGGAUGUGCUACAGUAAACAAUUGUAGUUAGUUNGAUGUGCUACGUAAACAAUUGUAGUUAGUUUGUGACAGAUUAGCUACAGAUCAAGUUGUAGGUAAUUUGCUACGGACAACAAUUGUAGUUAAUUUGCUACGUUACUACUACGAAUAUAGUUUAUAGCUAUUUUGCUACGGAAUAAGUGUGUUGCAAAAUUCGUUGCGAAGGUCCUACGGAUUCUAUAACAAUCGUUUAGUAACGAAGAUUUUUGCAACAAAUGGGUUCCGUAGCAAAUUCCGUCUCUAAUCACACUUAACUACGGAAUAUCAUGUUUUAGCUACGGAAUUUUUCCGUAGUUAUUUCGGUUAUUUCUUGUAGUGUAGAUGGUAUUCAUAGCACCUUCCAUGUGUGUUAUUUUAGGAAUUUCACGGGAGAAGUUCCCGACAUAAUUCCAAUCUCAGAGUUAAGAAUGGAUGAGAAUAAGAGGCUGACUGAAGAGCGCGAGUCAAUUGUUGACCGUAAGAAUCAGAAUUUAUGACGCAAGAUGGUCGACUUAGUGCUAUUCCAUUGGAAACAUUCGAAUGGGCUGAAUCUCACUUGGGAAACAGAGAGUGACAUGAUGAGUCGCUACCCACAUAUGUUUGUUGAUGCAUGAUUCCGGGACGGAAUCAUCCUAAGGGGGAGAGAAUUGUAACGUCCAUAUUUCGGGGCUAAGCAUUAAUAGAUGAUGUGAUAGUCUAGGUCAACUAUUGUAACUCUUUUUGAAGUAAUAAAUAUGAAUUAUUUGAGUAUUAUGUGAAUUAUGUGAAUUUAUGUGUUUUAUACUUAAUUAUAAAGAUAUAAUUAAUAAAGAAUAAAAAUAAGCGUCAAAAUUAAAGUUUGAGAUAAGCCCUAUAUCUUCAAAUAAAUUUGUAGUGGUCGAAAAAAGGAUUCCGGAGAUAUAAAGAACGCUGAAAUCCGAGUUAUAACGAAGAAGUUAUGACCCGUCGAAGUUUCGCGACGAAACCGGCACGGCACCGGAAAGCGUAAAUAGUGAAUUUACAAUAGAUCGAAUUUUGGCCUUAGUGAUCUAAACAAAAGUUUAGUAUACGUUAAACCGAGAACACACAAAAAAGGAACGCCCAAAUCUGACUUUGUAUGGGAAGUUAUGAUUUUUCUAAGAUUUGGCUUAGUAGUGCACGACCCCAAACUCGAAUUUUAGUUCGAGCGGUUCUUGGCUUACGCGACCUAAAUGAGAGUUGAAGAUCAAAUUAGUAGGAACUCAAUGGUAAAAAGACAGAUGAAAACAGAGUACGUAUGAAGGAGUUACGAAUUUUUCGAGGUCAUUUAAUAGUCUAUUCUCCUCCUACUGUUAAAUUUAAUAUUGGUCGAGAAUUAGCCGACGGAGUCUAAAAGAAAGUUGUAGAUUAUGAUCGUUCCUACGCGUGGAUAUAAAGUAUGUCGAUAACAGAGCUCGUAUGCAAGAGUUAUGAUUUUUCUAAGUCGGGAGGGUGUUGUGCGAGUUUGGGUGACGUGGCGCGAUCACAGUCGUUGCUUCCUCCCCAAGGCUAGCCAUCAGAUGAUGACACGUGGCACAUUACGCCCAGCGUAAUUUUGAGUGCGCUCAGCGUAAGCCUUAAAAACACAUUACGCUCAGCGUAAUUUUUGAGUACGCUCAGUGUACUCGACGCUGGCAACCUAUAAAUAGAGCCGCAAAUCUCCCAUUUUCUUCACAACUCUCCACUUCUUUCCUCCCAAAUACCCCCAAACGUUCAAGGUUUUUCCCUAGCACCUCCAAGGUGUUUGUAACACCCGAUUCCUGGUAUGCCUUUAAUUCAGGUAUUUAUUUUGUUUUUCUCUGGGACUCGACGAGUUGCAGACCCAACUCAUCGAGUAGAGUCGUGAUCCGCGGGAAGUUUAAGUAGUCUACUCGACAAGUCGGGGGACUGAAUCGACGAGUAGACGCUGUUUGAGUGAAACCUUAAAUUGAGGGUUUAUACCCUAUUUAAACACAUUAUAAUCCCUCAACCCAGCCCCCAUCGUCCAGAGCAAACCCAAACUCAAAACCCUAGCCUUGUUUGAGUGUUCUAAGGUCAUUUUGUGCAUUUUGGAGAUUUAUGAAGCUUGAGAAAGAGUAAAGGAGCCUGGGAGUUCAAGUGGGAGCUUGGAGAUUCGGAGAUUGUGUUCCAUUUCCAGCUCAUUUAAGGUAAAAAAUCUCCUAUCUUGAUCUUCCAUGUAAAUAAUCACCUUUAGGGCUUGGAUCUUGGUAUAUUUAGGGCUUUCUAAGCCAUUUUCAGGUUGUAAAGUGUAAUAUGAAGUUAUUACUUCUGAUCUGGGGCCAUUUGGGGUUUUUAUGUCAUAAAGAUGCCAACUUUGUUGCCAUAAACACCCCAUGCAUCUUGUAGACCAUCUUUUAUGGCUUUUUGAGCCAAAGAUCCCAUGCAUGUGCACCAAGCUUGAGACUUUACGUGUAAAAUGGACAUUAGGAGGCCAGAUCUAUAGUUUUGAGGAGUUAAAACCCAUUUAAAUCGACUGUAUAGUAAUGGUCAAGGAUGGGCUCGGCGAGUCAUUCUUUGGACUCGGCGAAUCGGGGUAUAAUGACCACCAAAUCCUUUCUGUCAAAGGACCAGAUGAUAGUGUGGAAGGUUCCCCAGUUGUUUAGGCUCUUAAGGGACCUGAGAAUCAUGGGACUCAUGAGUACUAGAACACACACGGCAAGUCCAAGGCAAUCUCCCAGUCUUUGAAGAUGGACUCGACGAGUCGUUCUUACAACUUGGCGAGUCAUAGACUGGAUGCAUUCAUAUGCUGAAGAUGAACUCGACGAGUUCAAGGAAGAACUCACCGAGUCGGUUGAAGAUUGACUGAAGUGUUGUUGAAGGUGAACUCGUCGAGCUCUUGCUAGACUCGACGAGUGGGGACAGGUUUGUAGUAUUGUGUGGGCGAGGGGACUCGGCGAGUUGGCGGACCAACUCAGCGAGUCUGAUCAACACAAGAUUUGACUUGACUAGGGUUUGACUUUGACUUUGACUUUGAUUUGGAUUCAAGUUGACCCUUGAAGGGGGUUGUGGGUACAACUUGAUAACUUAGAAGGGUUGUCAUGUAGGGAUUGAGGAGUCGAGGAGAGCCAACUUUCACACCGAGGACAGUGCAGACGCUACACGACAUCGAGGUGAGUUACCUUCCAGGAGGGGUGGGUCUAAGGCCACAAUGCCGGCCCACCAACAAGAGCAAUUAGUAGAUAAUUGUGUUUGUGAUAAUUAUCUUGGUAUACCUAUGUGAUAUGUUUAUGAGAUAUGCUUAUGAGAUAUGCUUAUGUGAUAUGCUAUGUGAGUUAGUGGUAGUAGCAGGGAAUAGCUUUUCCCUAACUUGGUCGUUAGGACCGAAGGGUAGGUCAGUACCCCAGAUAUGCCUGACCGUAUAAUACUAUUUUGUUAUUGUAUGAUAUAGGUAAGGGUGAAAUAGUCCCUGAUGUCGGUUGAGAUAGACCGGAGGGUAGUCGGCACCCCAGAACGGCCUGAUAUGGGUAGGUCAGCACCCCAGAAUGGCUUAACAUGGGUACGUCAGCACCCCAUAAUGGCUUGACAUGGGUAGGUCGGGCACCCAAGAAUUGUCCGGCAGUAUGUAUGCUAUGUGAUUGUAUGGUAUGUGGUAUGAUGGGGGAACUCACUAAGCUUUGUGCGUGCAGUUUCAGUUUUGGUUUCAGGUACCUCUUCAUCCAAGGGGAAGGAGUCGGCGGCGUAGCAGCGCAUCACACACACACACAUUUGAUUUCCGCAUUUAGUUUUCUAGGAUUGUACUCUAAUUUAUACUAUUGUUCGAUGUUGUGAUUUUAGAAUUAUUCAUGAUGGUUUAUGGGUUGAUAUGGUAUUGACAAUGUUUUUAGUAAACGAAUAUAUAAUUUACUUAAUUACAAACAAAAAUUUUGGACUCGGAAAUUGGGAUGUUAUAGUGUUAUAAGCAAGUCUUGGAGCACCGGGAAGCUCCAAGAAGAAGAGCUUUCGGCUCAGAACCGAUGCUCCAAGCGAAGCCCAGUUUUCUAUAAAACCCGUUGUAAGUGAGCUACACCUACGCUAUUUUUAGUAUAGCUUUUAUAUAAUUAUAUUAACGUUAUUAGGAACUUAUAAUAAGUACUUGGGCUAUUAUUAUGAGUUAUAUAAGUUUCGUUAUAAUAUCUUUUUAACCACUCGCGGUACGGGGAAUCUAGUUUAAAGGGCCGCAUAGGGUUGUUGGAUUUCAGAAGUGCUAUAUGCCAAAAUGGUCCUACCCUCCAGUGUUUUAUGUCUGGCCCUUGUUUGUACAUAGUGGGUGAAGAGUAUUGUCUAACGCUUAUAUAAUAGUAAUAAUAGCUAGACUAUUAAUUAGUCUCGGUGAAUAUUAGACUAAACCCUAGUGGUAAUGAUACAAUUUUUUGUCGAACGAAAUUGUUUUAAGAGUAACGAAGCGUUGUCCAACUUCGGAAUCACCACCUUAACAGGUGAGUGCAUAGUUACUUUCAUCUUACACAUAGAUAUGAAGUAUUUAAUAUAAACUACAUGUUAUGUGUGCAUAUUGUUUGAGUACUUGUUGUCUAUAUAGAUGAAAGAUUUUCAUACAUGUUUUAAAUGAUUUAAACUGUAUAUGUAAUUUUAUAUCAGCAAAAAUGUUGGGGUAAACCAUGGGUAGAUGUAAUAGACAAUGUGUGAUAAAAUGAUGAGAGGCCUCGAUGUUGUUGUUGUUGAUUAUGUCAUCUAGCGGAGUAUGGAUGAUGACCACAGACUCUUCUAGACAGUCUAGUGGAACGCUAGCAAGCUCGCAACCUGUAGGUGUUUGUGAACAAUGUGCUCACCAGUGUACUCCAUCCCCCUCAUGGUUGCCUUAGGAACAUUUUUUGCUGAGGAAUCCCCUUAGAAGUAGUGUCCAUCCCGAUGAUGAUCCUUAGCCUAGGUCCCUUAUGAUAGGUGUUUUAGGGACGUAAAGUGAGGAUAACGUGAACGGGUAAUCAGGUUAUUCUGGGUUGACGAAAUUAAUAAACUUAUUUAUUGUGGGUUGAAAACCCUAUGUUCUCACUAGGAUCCCAAGCCUGACCCACUCAGUUUCUUGUAUUACAGGUAGUGGCACUCGAGCAUAGAUGUGAUGUUUUGGAUAAGGGAUUACGGAUUAUAGGCCUAUAGAUAUGAAUAAAUGUUGUAAGGCUUAUAUUGUAUUGGUUAUGCUUUUGAUCUGUAACAAACAUGACAUCCCGAGGUUUUUAAUGAAAUACAUUUCUUCGGAAAUGUUUUGAUAAAUAUUUAUCAUAUUUUAUUUUGGGAACAAAUUCUGCAGCACUUUUAUUUAAAAUGUUACUCUGACUUUCAAAUAAAGCAUAAACAAAAUUGGUCUUUUCUGGCCGUGAAAAUAAGGAUGUCACACAGCGAGACCAGAGAACUAUAAGAGAGAGCGGUUGAUCGGGUAGAUUUCCAAGUUUGGGACGAACAUUCGGGGGUUAUGACUUUCCAUGGGCAGAUUUGGGUAUCGUAUACAGGUGUAGCUCGACGUAUUUUGAUGGAGGAGGCCCAUCGGUCGAGAUUCUCGAUCCAUCCAGGGGCCAUCAAGAUGUAUUUGGAUUUAAAUAGGGAUUACGGGUGGCCGUGCAUGAAGAGAGAUGUGGCAUGGGUAGUUGAGAGAUGCUUGACCUGUCACUAGGUCAAGGGGGAGCACCAGCGACCACAUGCCCCAUUUCAUCCCCUAGAGAUUCCCCAGUGGAACUGGGAACAAAUUUCCAUAGAUUUUAUCACCAAAUUACCGAGGACUGCGCGGGGAUUCAAUGCGAUAUGGGUGAUUGUAGACCAGUUGACAAAGAGUGCUCACUUCCUGGCUAUCAGUAAGAGCUCUUCUGUGGAGAAAUUGGCGAGAUCUACGUUCGAGAGGUGGUAGGGCGGCAUGGGGUGCCGACAUCGAUAGUGUCGGAUCAAGACGUGCAUUUUACUUCCAAGUUCUGGAAGAAAUUUAAUGAGGAGUUGGGUACCCGGUUGCACUUCAGUAUCGCAUAUCACCAACAGACAGACGGGCAGAGCGAGCGGAUGAUUCAGAUGCUUGAGGACAUGUUGCGUGCAUGUGUUAUGGACUUCGCUGGGAGUUGGGCACUUAUUUUCCCUUAUCUGAGUUUUCAUACAACAACAGCCAUCAUUCCAGUAUUGGUAUGCCUCCCUUUGAGCUCUUAUAUGGGAAGAGGUGUCGUACUCCCAUCUAUUGGGGAGAGGUAGGGCAGAGAGUGAUGAGGGGCACCGACAUAGUGCUCAAGACAACAAAACAAAUCCAGCAGGUCAGACAGAGGUUACUGACGGCCCAGAGUCGUCAAAAGAGUUACACCAACCGGCGUCGUUCAGAGUUAGAGUUUCAGGUCAGAGAUUUUAUCCUCCUGAAGGUAUCCCCAUGGAAUGGGGUGAUCCAAUUCAGGAAACGGGGCAAGAUGGGCCCUAGAUACAUUGGCCCUUUCGGGGUGAUAACAUGAGUGGGUAAGGUAGCUUAUAGAUUGGAGAUGCCUGCAGAGUUGAGCCAAAUUCAUAAUACCUUCCAUGUGUCCCAAUUGAGGAAGUGUGUAGCCAAUGAGACGGAAGUGGUUCCUUUCGAGGACAUUCAGGUCGACGAAAUCCUGAACUAUAUAGAGAGGUCGAUAGCAAUCUUGGAUAGGGAGGUGAAGGUCUUAAGGAAUAAAUAGGUGCCUCUAGUUCAGGUUCAGUGGCAACAUCGGAAGGGAUCCGAGUGGACUUGGGAGUCAGAGUCCAAGAUGCGCGAGCAGUACCCAGAGUUAUUUCCAGAAGAUGACUUCGAGGGCGAAUUCUGAUUCUAGUGGGGGAGAAUUAUAACAUACCGAGACCAGGUAUAUCUCAUUAACCCUUGUAUUAUUGUAGUUGUCAAAUUUGACCCUUUAUUUGAGAACAGGUGGUAGCUGAGUGCGCAGGGCGUACGAAUGUGUACGCUUAGCGUACUCAUGUGCAUGAUUUGGAUGAGGAAGCCACCUAGUACGCUGGGCAUACUAGGCUCAGAAUGAAAACCCUAAUUGUGGGGUGAGUCCCUAUUUAAGGAACAUGAUGGCCUCAUUUCUGGCCACCAUUUCCAGUCUUCAACCCCCCCUCAAAACCCUAAUUUCCGUUCUCUUAGCUUAAGUGGCCAUUUGUAAGCUUCUAAGUGUUCUUGUGGGAUUCUUUGAGUGAUGAAGGAGCCUUCAAGAGAAUAGAGUUAGAGUCCAAGCAUUGGAUCUGAGCUUCCCUGUGAUUGGUGCAUCAUUUGAAGGUAUCAAGCUCAAAGCUUUCUCAUUCUUUUGAUUUGUGCAUAUUAUGGUUCAUUUUAGGGCUUUUUUCCCAAAGCUUGAAGCUUUAUGAGUUUCUUGAACCCCAGAGCCUAAUAUAUGUCCCUUUAAGUGUCUCUAGUGGAGUGGACUCAUAAAAAUGGGAUCUUAGACGUCAAAAUCACCCCACGCAUGAGAUAUGAGCACUUUUGUGAGUAAAGAGUGAGAGUGUUUCAGUUUUAUACUGUCUCAGCCAUGCAAAGGCUUAAAGUCACGAAAUUUAUGGAGUAUGAGCCUUUAGUGAGUCCAGAUCUGAGAGUAUAGCUAUGGUCUUAACGGAUUAAGACCAAGAGAGUGGGGAAAACAAGUCUGGGACGUAUACCAAGCGUACUCCCAGGUCCAUGCAGUGUAGCGUCGAAGAUCCCUGAUGCAUGCAUGGCGAAGUAGUAUGCCCAACGUAAAGGGGUUGUACGCGCAGCGUACGCACUGCUGUUGACUUUUGUUGACUUCUAGGGUUUGGUCAAACUAUGGACUAUAGAGGCCAUGGAAGGGUAAAAUGGUCUUUUAUCCUUUUGAGAAUUAGUAUUGGGUUUAGCCUAGCAUCUUUAAGGGUCAUUUAUUAGUUAGAGAUAAUUAUGGUAUAUGUUAGGUGGAGGCUAGAGUGGUGAUUCCAGUAUGAGACGUAUUUGCUUUACUUAUGAGGUGAGUUUUCUCACUAUACAUACCUGAGUGGUAAUACUAAGUGACCAGAGGGUCUUAUUUGAGUUAUCUGAUAUUAUGCAUUUUGUAUUUGUGAUAUAUGCUAUAUUAUUUUGUGCAUUACCGAGAUCGGAUGGGAGGGUCCAACCCAAGCUGUGAGACCGAAGGGUUCUCACUGAGAUACAAGACUAGAGGGUCUAACCCGAGUUGUGAGACCGGAGGGUCCUCACUGAGACACAUGAUCGGAGGGUCCAAACUGAGUCAUAAUACCGUAGGAUCCUCACCGAGACGCAUGACCGGAGGGUCCAUGCCAAGCCAUAGCCAUGAGAGGCUUAUUAUUUGUGUAUGUGGGAUUUUGGGGAGCUCACUAAGCUUCGUUCUUACCAUGAUGUGUGUUAUGUGUUUCAGGUAUUUCUCAGGAUCGCAGGAAGGCACCGGCUUGAUUGUACACAUCUGUUUGAGACGAUGUUUGAGGAUUCUGGGAUACUAUUAUUUAUUUUGUGGAUUUGUGUUUGACAUUUGAGACAAUUGUGGUUUUUGAGAAAUAUGGCAUGAGUUUUUAUGUGUUUUGAAAAUGAAAUAUUUGUUUGAAAAUUCGUGGUGUUACAGUUUCCCCUUUCACCAGUCGUAUCAUCUCAAACCCGACUAUCCUGCAUGGGUAGUGGAGGGGGUGCAAGCCCAAACAACCAUCGUCCCACGGGAGGUCAAUGUUGAAUCGCAAGAAAUAACAAGUAUGAAUUUUUACCCUCGUAUUUAUCUUGAAUAGAUGUGCAUGUUUAGUGUAAUGCCAAUUAGAUAGCCAUUCAUAUAGUUGUCUUGCUAGCAUUAUUAUGUUAGCAUUGGUCAGUUUUAAAGGAUCAGGGAUGCGGUUUCCAGAGUCUUCAUAAAUCAUAAAGUAGCAGGUUCGUUCGCGAACGGUUUGGAGUUGUGUUGUUUGGAAAGCUUCUGGUUUCUCAAUCUAGACUGCAUGAUUCCUUGAGAUUGUUGGUUAUUAUUCAAAUUGACAUAUGCCAUUUUGCAUACCGAGAGCUAUGUUUAAAGAGUAUCUAGAUGAACCAGUUUUAGGCUUCGGCAUGGAAGACGUAAGCCACUGAGGGAGCAAACCUUGAGCGGCGGAGGACUUAGUAUCUACUUAAAGGAUCAGCAACUAGAUUGAUUUUGAUGAUUUCCAUGAGACGAGCCGAGGGAAGUUAUAGUGUAAGUUCAUUGGAUUACUAGUGUUCGAGACCGUUGAGAUCUUUUAUGAUGUGGAGAACUGAGAGAUUGAUCUGAAGCAGGUGUAGGGUGAGAUGUUGUUAGUUUUAUGUGCAUGUUUGUGCACGCAAUCCUUGCAUCAGGAACUUCUAGACAAGAUCUUGUUGUAGCCGACUGUUCCUCUUGGGAUAAUGAAAUAGAUUUAAGAGGAGUAUGUAUUGGUCGGAUUGAAUAUCAAUUUAAGGUGAGGUUGGAUCGUUGAAUCAAUCACUAUCAUUAAUACGGGUAGAGCUAUUGUUGAGUUAUUAAUCUACUUCAGGGAUAAUGGAUGCACUUUUGCGCGAGUGUGGGUUCAGUGGAUGAGAUUGUUUGAGAAAUUAUAAAGUAGUAUUAGUUGACGGUGCUAUGUACGGAUCAAUCUUUCUUUAUGUGUAGAGUAACGGGUAUUUUUGGACCCAAGAAUAAGGUGUCAGAGUGACAUUGAUCAGUUUUCUGGAAGGACUUCGGAUUUUCACGGAAUCCCUUUCCGGCGGAGUCACGUCGGCAGGAUUGGAAAGGAGUCAGUAUGACCUCGGUUCUGAUGGCAUUCAAAGGUUUGAUCCAACCAUGUUGAGCAAUUGUAGGAUCGGUUCGAUUAUUUAAACUGGAAAUUUUCUAUGAGAAGGUUUUAUGGUUGGGGUGUUCAAUGAUAUGCAUCGUGAUCAAGUUGGAAAGCUUAGGGUCCAGACACUAUGGAUUGUGAAUCUAUAGUAAAAGUCUUGAUGUCGUUAGGGAGGAGUUAAUUCCAAGUGGGGUAGAGCCUCUUGGAAUUCAUAUCUGAGGGUCGGAGAAUAGUUGGUUUUGAUCAUAAGCAUGGAAUCAAAGACCAAGGAUUUGGGUUAUCUCGGUUGGGGAUCUGACUCAUAUUGAUCUUCGAUUAGGAUGGUUGGAAAAAUCAUGGGUAGAGCCAAUGGUAGUUAUGGAAAUGUAGUGAGGAACCGUGAACCGGUGGCAGAAUGACUCAUAUGGGAGAGAUCCGGUAGUCAAUUUUUUAAGGUUGUUAGGUCUCGGAUCAUUAGUUUUCUUGGCAUGUUUGGGUGUUGGUACAUUCUAGGAGUCGGGAGACUCAGUGAUUAGCUGGGUUGGAUCAUGUAGGUAGUAAAAGGUUGUUGAGAGUAACAGUUAUACAUCAGAAUUCUCUUGUGGAUUGUUUGCAUUAUAAAUCCCGUUUUCUUGCGGGCUAUUUAUUAGGAAUGUGUUUACCAAUGAUGGGUAUCGGUUUUGGAAUCUCAACUCAUGAAGUUCAUCGUGAAUGUCCCGAGUGAUUUUUUGUUAGGUGGAGGUACACCUUAGCUGUUAUGUGAUUUGGAUGCAACAUGAAAUUAUUAGGGUGGACCAUCAUUAUGCUCGUGAGAGUAGUUGGUUGCUGAUGACUUGUCAGGAAGACAAGUGUAUAUUUAAGGUUUUUAGUCACAAUUUCUGGAUUUGGGUUUAGGUGAAAAUCGUAAUCAGUAUCUUUUUAGUUUUCUUUUUUCAUGUCUUGGUAGUGUUCCUAGUCAAGGAAUAGGGGUAGGUACGACGAAUGGAUGAUCAUCAGUCUUAAAGCAUGUUUCUGAAGAAUAGAACUAAUGGGUUCUCGAUUCUGGGAAGUAUGUUGAUGAAGUUGGUUUGAAGAUGCCUAGAUUUCGAAGUGGUUAAGGGAGUUGUGGAAUAUGUUGACGUUGUUCAUGCUACACUAUAACGGUUAUUUAGUUAGGACACAUGUUGGGAUAUGCUCUUGUUUUCAAGUGGAGGGUACAACAAUAGUGAAUGGUUGCAGAUAACCCAGAUUCAGCAGAAAAGUUAUAUCGGCAGGCGCCGAUCGGAGUUGGAGUUCGAGGUUGGCGAUAUGGUUCUACUUAAGGUAUCACCCUGGAAAGGUGUAAUAAGCUUUACGAAGAGGGAAAAGUACGGGCCCUGGUAUAGUGGGUUGCUUCGAGUGAUAACCAGGGUUGGUUAGGUGGCCUAUCGAUUGGAUUGCUUGAGGAGCUCAAUCAGAUUCACAACACAUUUCACGUAUCUCUGCUAUGGAAGUAUGUAGUUGAUGAUUUAGCAGUGGACACUUUAGAUGAUAUUCAGGUUGAUGAUCGCUUGAAUUAUGUUUAGAGACCAGUGGUUACUCUGAAUAGGAAGACAAAGGCCUUGCGCAACAAGGAGGUAUCAUUGGUCAAGGUCCAUUGGCAACAAUGGAAGGGUUUCGAAUGGACUUGGGAACCCGAGGCGGAGAUGCGAGAACACAACCCUGAGUUAUUUGAGGAAGCGAAAUUCGAGAACGAAAUCUAGUUCAAGUGCGGGAGAAUUGUAACAUCUUGAUAUUUAGGUAAUUCCAUUUAUGUAACGACCCGUCUCCGGUAUGAUGAUUCCUUUGUAUUUAUUUUGANGGAAUGGACGUGGGAGGUUGAGGAGGAGAUAAGAGAGCACUACCCAGAGAUAUUUGCAGAUUCAGUCGUAGCAGACUUCGAGGACGAAGUCUGAGAUAAGUGGGGGAGAAUUGUAACGACCCGUCUCCGGUAUGAUGAUUCCUUGGUAUUUAUUUUGAAGUUUUGCAAGAGGGACUCGGCGAGUUCAUAGCCUGACUCGCCGAGUAGGGACGGGAUUUCGAGCACGUGUUAGCUGGCGACUCGGCGAGUCCAUAUUCUGGACUCGGCGAGUCUGUCCGUCUGGGAGAAACCCUAAAUCCCCGGGUUGCCCACUAUUUAAGCCACCUUAUGGCCUCCAUUCUCGCCUCCUUCACCCUCAGUAAGCUGUGAGAAAACCCUAAUUCGACCUUGAGUGUUUUAAGUGAUCUUGUGUGCAUUUGUGAAGGCUUGAAGAAGGAGAAGAAGAAAGGAACAAGGAGAAGGAUUUUAGAGCAGAGAUUCAAGGGAAAGCAAGAGCUCUUUGAGGUAUUCUUCAGAUUUCCUUCACUUUCAUGCUUUAAAACCCUUUCUAGAUCUAGUUAAUGCUUUUCUCAAGCCUUAUGUUGAUAUGGAAGCUCUAUUAUGCCGAGAUAUCCUUAGAUCUGUUCAAUUAGGAGUUGUAGAGCCCAGAUCUAUUGCCUUUAUGGAGCCAUUUUGCAUAUUAACCCUAGAUCUACCCCUUUUAAGUGUCUUUUAGCCUUUAUUCCCUUUUUCAUGUGUUUGUACACGUAAAGUUGGAAACUUUACGUGGUAAAUCAGCUUAUUGGACUCAGAUCUAUCAUUUGUAUGUAUUGGAUUCGAGCAGAAUCGAGUGUAGAAUAGUUGCAUGGCGGUGACUCGGCGAGUCGGAAGAACGACUCGGCGAGUCGAGUCGCGAGUCCCCGAUUUCUUCCUUUUGAGCGGUGUCGAGUGGGACCAGUGAGUAGUGGAGUGGACUCAGCGAGUUUGAGGGUAGACUCAGUAAUGGAGGGACUCGGCGAGUUGUUCAUACAACUCGGCGAGUCCAAGGCAAUCUUCUUAAGCUCAAGAACAACUCGUCGAGUUGUUCAUAUGACUCGGCGAGUCGGAUGAAGAUUGUCUGAGUUCUUGGAUCGAGAGGGUACUCGUCGAGUCGAUGCCAUACUCGACGAGUAGCAGCGAGUAGGGUCGAGGAGUGAGAAUAGGGACUCGGCGAGUUGGCGGCCCAACUCGGCGAGUCAGGUCAACUGUGGGUUGACUUUGACCGAGAGUUGACUUUGACCAAGGGUAAAAGAGUCAUUUUACCCAGUGCAGUGUUUAGUAUUUGAUUGAGUGUGUUUAUGGACUUGUAGCCGGGGAGUUACCGGAGCAGCAGCAGUUAGCCCUCAGAGCCAUUCACUCAGCAGCCAGUUCACGAGGUGAGUUUCCUUCCAGUAGGAACGGGUCUAAGGCCACAAUGCCGGCCCGUUUAGCUAGCAGUAGUAUCCGGAUUUUGAUCCGAUGCAGUAGUUAGCAUGUUUGAUGCCUUCGUGGCUCAGAUAGGAUUUAUGUGUGUUCAUGCUAGUGAUAUGUUUAUGCUAUGUUCAGUCAGCUUCGGACUUUGGUCUGAUGUCAGCUUCGGACUUCGGUUCGAUGUAGGGGACAAGGUCCCAGUCAGCUUCGGACUUCGGUCCGAUGUCAGCUUUGGACUUUGGUUCGAUGUAGGGGACAAGGUCCCAGUCAGCUUCGGACUUCGGUCCGAUGUUAGCUUCGGACUUCGGUCCGAUGUUAGCUUCGGACUUCGGUCCGAUGUAGGGGACAAGGUCCCAGUCAGUCGGCUUCGGACUUCGGUUCGAUGGAGGGGGCAAGGCCCCAGUAUGUGCUUGAUAUGUUAUUGUAUGGUAUGUGGUAGUUUGGGGGAGCUCACUAAGCUUCGUGCUUACAGUUUCAGUUUUGGUUUCAGGUACUUCCGCAAGCAGAGGGAAGAGCUCGGGAUGAUGGCAUCGCACACACCACAGCUUCAGCUUUUAUCUUGGGAGUUGAUUUAGUUUUUGAUUUGAUAUGACAUAGAUAUGAUACAGUUUUCCGCACAGUGUUUUGUUAUGUUGAGAUAUAUCACGUAUGGUUUUAUGAUAUGACACUCAGAUUAUGGUUUUUAAAUAUAUCGAAAACGAAAUUUUUGGGUCGUUUCAAUUUAUGUCCUAGAUAUGUAAAUUGUUUGCAAAUUGGUCCCUUAUAGCGUUUUGGAGAAACACAUGUUUCACUAGGUACAAUGGGCGUACUCCUUGAACGUUGGGCGUACGAGGCCUGGACGAAAACCCUAAUAUUUAGGAUAUGUGCACUAUUUAAGCACCUUUAUUUCAUCAAAAGUCUUUCUUUUAUCUGCCUCCAUCUCCCAACUCGACCCUAGCUAACCCUAAUCUUUUGUGUGGGCAUUUUUGAGCUUGAGUGUGUAAUUUGGUGAUCUUAAAGGAGGAAGAAGGAAGAGGAAUCACCUUAGGAGCUCAAAGACAACCUAGAUUAAGAAUCACAUCAUCAUUUUGCAUCACUUUAGGUAAAAAAAAACUUUGAUCUUGAUGAAGCUUUUGCUUAGAGCUUGUUGGCUAUUGAUUUGUGUUCAUUUUGGUCCCAUAACCCUGGUGUUUAUGAGUAUGGUUUACUCUAAAUCAUAUGAGUUGUCCUUUCAGAUGUUCUGGAGGGUGUAGAGUCAUAAAAAUAUAAUAUUGGUCCAUAGUUUCCUUCCAUGCAUGGACUAUGAUGUCUUAAUGAUUUAAGAAGUUAGGGUUUUGGUAUUGGGCACUUUCUAGCCAUGCAAAUUCAUAAAGUUGGAAAGUUUAUGACUUAGAAUGUUAUUUUGGGAAUAGAUCUGCAUUUGGACAAAAGGACUUAAUGGCAUUUUGGUAAUUUUGGCCAAGAUAUUAGUGUGUCGAGCGUACGUUGUGUAUGUUAGGCGUACUGGGGCGGACCCUAGUACGUUGUGCAUACACCACGUACGCAUGACGUACAUGGUAAAUCCUUAAAUCCUAAUUUUUAGGGUUUGUUCCAUAUAUAAGCAUCAUUAUCCUCUCAUUUCUCAUUCCCUCAUCAGCCUCCAUUUGAGAAACGGCCCUCUAGCUAACCCUAAGUGAGAAGAGUGCAUAUUGAGCUUAUCUUUGUGUUUUGGGGUAUUCUUAAAGAAGAACGUGGUGAGAAGAACAUGGAUCUUGGAAGCAACUUGGAUAUGAGAUUAUCUCCUUUCUAGCAACCUCCAGGAGGUAAAAAGGCAUUUUGGGUCCCAAAUAGGAUUGUUCUUAAGUAUGGCAUGCCCUUAGUCUAAUAAGUCAUCCUUUCAGACCUAAUGAGGGGUCUUGAUUCAUAAAAAUGUGGUCUUGAUACAUAGUUUUUCUCCAUGCAUGAUCUAGAAGGUCUUAUGAUGUUAAGAAGUUGGGAUUUUGUGUAUUAAGCACUUAAUAGACAUGCAAAGUCAUAAAGUUGGAAACUUUAUGACUCUUAGUAGUAUUUUGGCCUUGGAUCUAAAAUUUGGACGUGAGAGAUUAAUGCAUUAAACCUCUCUAAGCGUACAUCGUGUGUACCCCAGUGUACAUUGCACGUAUGUGAUCAAACUCUUGACUCCGGUCAAGGAAGGAUUAUGCCCAGCGUAGGAGCUGAGUACGCCUUGCAUACUCAGUUGAGUAGACCAAGUUGACUCCUUGACCUAUUGACUUUGACUUUGACUAGGUUUGAUCAAGUUUUCCUUAAGGGUAUUUUGGGUAUUUUAAGCUAUAAUUAAGCCUUGGUCUCUAUCUGUUGAAUAGGUGACAUGUAGAGCUGGUAUUUGGAGCAAUGUACUGUUCAACUAUUCAUCAGAAUAUGAGGUGAGUCUUCCUCACUAUAACCAUGGGUCGAAGGCACCAAGGCCAUCCCACUAGAUUAUUUAUCCUGGUCAAGAUAGUGAUAUGAUAGUUGUAGUUGUUCGGUAGAUCUGUAUGAUUAUCCGUGUUGUUGGCUCUGUGUUUAUGUUUUGUUUGUUGCAUAUGUCGACAUGUUGUGUUAGGUUGAGGCGUUCCUGCUUUGUGUUGUAGGCUAAGACACCUGGGGACAAACAGAUAGGUUGUAGGCCCUACGAAACGCUCCAGUCAAGCCGGCGGUCCGUGGAGUGGUCCGGAUAAGCUGUAAGUCCUAAGAGCCGGUCCAUUCAUGACAAAGGCUCAUAGAGCAGUCCACAUAGGUUGUAGGCCUUUCAAGGCGGUCCAGUCAGGCUAGCUGUUCAUAUUGUAUGCUUGAUUGUUGUGGUAUGCUAGUACUUUAGGGGAACUCACUAAGCUUUGGAUUACAGUUUUAAUUUGUGGUUUUAGGUAAUCCCAAGGACCAGGGGAAGGCGAAGGCUUGAUCGUACACAACAUAUAGUUUUUAUGUUUUUGGGACUUGGGAAAACUCUGAUUUGAAAUAAUUCUUUUGAAAUAAUGAAUCAUUUUGUAAACAAUAAUGAUUCGGUGUUUGUUUUAAAAUUUUAAAAUUUAUUUUGAUUUUUGGAGUGCUACAACUCCCUUUAGCACCCGAUCUGGAUGACGAGUACGUUGCGUGUACAUGCUGAGUACAUUGGGCAUACUCAGCUGAGUUGACUCUGUUGACUUUUAAUCUUUGACCAAGAUUUGACCAAGUUUGAACUAUGGGUAUUUUGGGUAUUUUGAGCAAUGGCUUGAGCUAGGGUCACUAUUUGUUGUACAUGUGACUUGUAGAGUUGGUAUACUGAGUGGUGUUGUAUCCAUAUAUCUUUUCAGACUGAGAGGUGAGUUUUCCUCACAGUACUUGUGGGUUAAAGGCACCAUUGCCGACCCACCUAGAUAAUGUAUCCUGGUAUAUAAGAUAUUGUUAUGUGGAAGUGAUUUAUUAGACAUGUAUCCUAGUAUAUAGGAUGUUGUUAUGCGAUAGUGAUCUAUAUAUUUUCCUAUUAGUCUGUAGACUAGUUGUAUGACUAUUUGUUUUCUGAAUAAAUGUUAUUUGUUAUAUGUCGACAUAGUGUGGUUAGGUUGAGACUGUAUUGCUUUGUGCAAUCAAUCAACAAACCUGGGGCAACCCAACCGGAGGCUGUGGGCCAAGGAAAUUCAACAGGGAGGUUAUAUGACAGGGUAGUCCAAUCGGGAGGUUGUGGACCCAAUAUGCAUUGUGUAUGGAAAUCCAACCAGGAGGUUGUUGGUCAAGGUAAUUCAACCGGGAGGUUGUGGAGCCAACAAGCAAUAUGAUUAUCUUUUUGGUUGUAUGUGGUAUUUUGGGGGGAACUCACUAAGCUUUGGCUUACAGUUUCAUUUUAUUGUUUCAGGUAUUUCAGAUGAGCGAGGAAAGCAAAGGCAUGAUCGUGCACAUCCUUUUAUUUUUUAUGAUUUUGGAUUUCUGGGAUACUUUGAUUUGUUAUUAUUACUUUUGAGAACAAUGUUUUUUAAACAAUUAUGGUUUUGGUUGGAUUUUAAAAUGAAAAUAUUACCUAGAUUUUUGGGAUGUUACAUAGUCUUUAAGGCAUUUUGGUCAUUUUUCUCAUCAUUUACCUUAGGGGGUUAGGUUUGGCAACCACACUUCGAUUUAUCCACCAUUGGAGCACGUUGGAGGUGAUUUAUGAGAGCUAUAUCUACAUUUGUCUCAUUCUUCUAGUAAUUGCUAAUCUCUUGAUGUUAGAAUACUUUUGUGAUUGUUGUCUUGUUGCCAUGAGUGGCUAAUCUAUUUAUUUUGGUUGACUUGGGCUAAAACCAUUGGAUAUUUGUGGGUUUUGAAGGAUUCAUGCUUGAUUGUCAUUUAUCUUGUGUUUAUGAUUCUAGUUCAUAGUUCUUAUGCUUGUUUAAUACUUUGAUCAUGAGCUUGGUGCUUGAAUGAUCAAUUGUUGAUUAUUUCUUUGGUUUAGUACUGAUUCAUUGAAUUUUCUUAGAUCAAGGGAUUUAUGAAGGUAGAAAUUAUCUCAAGCUUAUGGAUCAUGACUCCUUUAUGGUUGUGUAAGCAUUGACAUCCUCAAGGAAUUAGGUAUUCCUUCAUUCUUAAGGCUAAUCAGUUUUCUAGGGAUCCAUUGCUUCAUUUGAAUCCUUGAUUUUGAAUAAAAAGGUGUAUUGUGGGCUUCCCUAACCUCCAUACUACCUUUGACGAAUCUUGACAUAUCAUGCUUCGUGAUUGCCAUAACCAAUUUGGGAUGAAUUAUAAUCUUGCAUUUUGACUCCUAAUGAUCAAAGCACAAAUGUCCAUUGUGUUGAAUUAGCUUGGUUGACCAAUUUUCUCCAAUAUUUAAUAAUGUCACCAUCUUUCUUAAUUGCAAACUUUUUAAUUCUUCAAGUCAUUUAGUUUUCAAACAAUCAUAACGCCCCCCUAGUUUAAUUGUAGUUAGUUAGUUUUAUUACAAUAGUUCUAUUGGGUUGCAGUGGUGAUUGAAUACAACCACUUCCCUAAUGAUCGAUAUCCCUUUCAUCAUUAUAUUAAUAUCCCUUUUAUCAUUAUAUUACGAAUUAUUUUCAAGCAAAGGGUGUGAUUUGCUUGGUGGACUUGACAUACCACCACCUUUAGUGAAGAAGAAACAAUGCAAGUUGGUGGUAGCUUGUCGAAACAGAUCUGAUGCCCAGUGUUUUUAUCGAGUGGUUGGGAUAUAGAUGCACGAACACAUACAAAUCAUAUGAUACCAAAUGACGAGAGUCGGGCAGUGACCGGAGGAAGAAGGAGCGAUUUCUGAUUCAUACACAUAUAUACUUUUUUGAAACAAUUUCAUAUUCAUACACACAUACACAAAUCGGUUUUAGAAACAAAAUCAUACACAUACAAAUCAAUUUUGGGGGAUGAACAUACAAAUAUCGAUUUCCAAAACGAAAUGUACAUAUUCACACAUACAUAAAUCGAUUAUAGAUUGGAUUUAUAGGUUUUCUUUUGAGUUCUAUAAAAUGAUUUUAGAUUUAUGAUUGUGUGUUUAAUCUUGAGCAAUGUGUGUGCAUUUUGAAUAACAAACCAAUUUUUUGGAGAGAGUAAGAGUAGGUGUAUGUGAGUGUAGUUUGUAUGUAUGUUAAUAAGCUCCUUCAUGCUUUAGGUUCCUUAUUAAGCCUUCUUGGAGUUUAGAGCUUCAUUUAGUCAAGCAUGAGCAUAAAGUUGGCAACUUUAUGUGGUUUUCCGGCUCAAGGAAGUCAGAUCUAUGUUUUGGAGCCAUGGAUUAAGUGCUUAAUGUGUUUAGAGGUGGUUUCUGGCGAACUCGACGAGUUUUUUGGAUAAACUCGACGAUUUGGCUCAGUUUUCCCCAACAUUUUCAGUUUGAUAAGGGAAGUCGGCGAUUUGACUUGGUUUUUCCCAAUCUAUGAAGAUUUAUGGAAAACUCGACGGGUUGAAGGACAACCGACAACUUGGGUCAACUUAGACCGUUGACUUUGACUUUCGAUUUAUGUCCUUGACCAAGUUUAUCCCGACGGGUGUUUGUGAUAACCUGAUUUGGAUUUAAGGAAAAUAUGGGCUUAGGAUAAGACCCAUAUGGGGUUGGGCCCAAUUUGGAAAAUUGGGCCAUUAGUGGGCCAUUGUGGAUCUUUUGGUUUUGGGCCUCAGUUUUGGUGCAUGUUGGGUCAGGUGUAAAAUGGUCAUUUUACACCAAGUAUGGAUUAUAGAUUAUGGCAUGGAGCGCAAUUGCUAAUUGGGUGUGUUGAUGGUAUUAAUAGCUCGGAAGUCGGUAGGGUAGCAGCUAGGGUUUCUUCAGUGAGCUUCUACAUUCAAGGUGAGUUUUCCUCACUGCACUUAUGGGUCGAAGGCACCAAGGUCGUCCCUUUGGAUUGUUAUCCUAGUUUAUCGUAUAUUUGUAUGUUGUAGUUGUUAGGAUUAAAACCCUAAUUGAGAUUUGAUGAACAAGAUGCGGAAAAUGAGAACAAACACAAAUAUGAAGAUUAGGUCGAAUGAUCAGUCGAUUUAUUGAAUUGUGAGGAACAAAUUACACUUAAGAAAUAAGAAUCUAACUCUACAGAAACCUCAUAACGUGGCGGCUACAUUUUGCCUCUCUCUUAACCCUAAUAAUGAAUAAUAUAUGACUAUUUAUAGGGAAAAGACAAGUCUUGGGCUUUUAACCUACACUUCAUCAAGGGGCCCAUUGCCAUCAUCCAUGGAGUGCUUUGAAACCCUACAAUCUCCCCCUCAAAGUAUGGAAUGGAUGAC
Molecule: long non-coding RNA, 24088 nt
Filed under: Lactuca sativa (garden lettuce)
Lineage: Eukaryota; Viridiplantae; Streptophyta; Magnoliopsida; Asterales; Asteraceae
Description: long non-coding RNA (LSAT_LNC004854)
Source: RNAcentral